GAUAAACGCUGGCGGCGUGCCUAAUACAUGCAAGUCGAGCGAACGGACGAGAAGCUUGCUUCUCUGAUGUUAGCGGCGGACGGGUGAGUAACACGUGGAUAACCUACCUAUAAGACUGGGAUAACUUCGGGAAACCGGAGCUAAUACCGGAUAAUAUUUUGAACCGCAUGGUUCAAAAGUGAAAGACGGUCUUGCUGUCACUUAUAGAUGGAUCCGCGCUGCAUUAGCUAGUUGGUAAGGUAACGGCUUACCAAGGCAACGAUGCAUAGCCGACCUGAGAGGGUGAUCGGCCACACUGGAACUGAGACACGGUCCAGACUCCUACGGGAGGCAGCAGUAGGGAAUCUUCCGCAAUGGGCGAAAGCCUGACGGAGCAACGCCGCGUGAGUGAUGAAGGUCUUCGGGUCGUAAAACUCUGUUAUUAGGGAAGAACAUAUGUGUAAGUAACUGUGCACAUCUUGACGGUACCUAAUCAGAAAGCCACGGCUAACUACGUGCCAGCAGCCGCGGUAAUACGUAGGUGGCAAGCGUUAUCCGGAAUUAUUGGGCGUAAAGCGCGCGUAGGCGGUUUUUUAAGUCUGAUGUGAAAGCCCACGGCUCAACCGUGGAGGGUCAUUGGAAACUGGAAAACUUGAGUGCAGAAGAGGAAAGUGGAAUUCCAUGUGUAGCGGUGAAAUGCGCAGAGAUAUGGAGGAACACCAGUGGCGAAGGCGACUUUCUGGUCUGUAACUGACGCUGAUGUGCGAAAGCGUGGGGAUCAAACAGGAUUAGAUACCCUGGUAGUCCACGCCGUAAACGAUGAGUGCUAAGUGUUAGGGGGUUUCCGCCCCUUAGUGCUGCAGCUAACGCAUUAAGCACUCCGCCUGGGGAGUACGACCGCAAGGUUGAAACUCAAAGGAAUUGACGGGGACCCGCACAAGCGGUGGAGCAUGUGGUUUAAUUCGAAGCAACGCGAAGAACCUUACCAAAUCUUGACAUCCUUUGACAACUCUAGAGAUAGAGCCUUCCCCUUCGGGGGACAAAGUGACAGGUGGUGCAUGGUUGUCGUCAGCUCGUGUCGUGAGAUGUUGGGUUAAGUCCCGCAACGAGCGCAACCCUUAAGCUUAGUUGCCAUCAUUAAGUUGGGCACUCUAAGUUGACUGCCGGUGACAAACCGGAGGAAGGUGGGGAUGACGUCAAAUCAUCAUGCCCCUUAUGAUUUGGGCUACACACGUGCUACAAUGGACAAUACAAAGGGCAGCGAAACCGCGAGGUCAAGCAAAUCCCAUAAAGUUGUUCUCAGUUCGGAUUGUAGUCUGCAACUCGACUACAUGAAGCUGGAAUCGCUAGUAAUCGUAGAUCAGCAUGCUACGGUGAAUACGUUCCCGGGUCU
RNAcentral lists this ribosomal RNA (1372 nucleotides) under uncultured bacterium. Its description in RNAcentral is "bacterial SSU rRNA". It matches the Rfam family "Bacterial small subunit ribosomal RNA", at positions 28 to 1381 of the family's 1533-position model. The record is from RNAcentral.